RNAcentral lists this ribosomal RNA (506 nucleotides) under Bjerkandera adusta. Its description in RNAcentral is "eukaryotic LSU rRNA". The stretch from base 148 to 301 matches the Rfam family "5.8S ribosomal RNA". Lineage: Eukaryota; Fungi; Basidiomycota; Agaricomycetes; Polyporales; Phanerochaetaceae. The record is from RNAcentral.
GCCUGUCUCAUCCACUCUCAACUUCUGUGCACUUUUCAUAGGCCGGCUUGUGGGUGCGUUCGCGCACUUGUAGGUGUCGGGCUUAUGCUUUACUACAAACGAUUCAGUUUUAGAAUGUCAUACUUUGCUAUAACGCAAUUUAUAUACAACUUUCAGCAACGGAUCUCUUGGCUCUCGCAUCGAUGAAGAACGCAGCGAAAUGCGAUAAGUAAUGUGAAUUGCAGAAUUCAGUGAAUCAUCGAAUCUUUGAACGCACCUUGCGCUCCUUGGUAUUCCGAGGAGCAUGCCUGUUUGAGUCUCAUGGAAUUCUCAACCUUCGGCUUUAUUGACGAAGGCUUGGACUUGGAGGUCGUGCCGGCUCUCGUAGUCGGCUCCUCUGAAAUGCAUUAGUGCGAACGUUACCAGCCGCUUCAGCGUGAUAAUUAUCUGCGUUGCUGUGGAGGGUAUUCUAGUGUUCGCGCUUCUAACCGUCUUCGGACAAAUUUCUGAACUCUGAGCUCAAAUCA